CAAUAGCGUAUAUUAAAGUUGUUGCGGUUAAAAAGCUCGUAGUUGGAUUUCUGCCUGAGGCAGCCGGUCCGCACUUAGUGCGUGUAUCUGGUUUGGUUUGGGCAUCCUCUUGGGAGUCGUUGCUGUGCUUAGUUGCAUGGUGCGGAAUUCAAGACGUUUACUUUGAGGAAAUUAGAGUGGUUACGGCAAGCUAUCGCUUUGAAUACAUUAGCAUGGAAUAAUAAUCUAGGACUUCGGUUCUAUUUUGUUGGUUUCUAGUACUGAAGUAAUGAUUGAUAGGGAUAGUUGGGGUGGCUAGUAUUGGCCGGCCAGAGGUGAAAUUCUUGGAUUCGGUCAAGACUAACUUAUGCGAAAGCAUUCACCAAGGAUGUCUUCUUUAAUCAAGAACGAAAGUUGGGGAGUCGAAGACGAUCAGAUACCA
RNAcentral lists this ribosomal RNA (421 nucleotides) under uncultured eukaryote. RNAcentral's name for it is "bacterial SSU rRNA". It matches the Rfam family "Eukaryotic small subunit ribosomal RNA", at positions 592 to 1017 of the family's 1831-position model. The record is from RNAcentral.